RNAcentral lists this ribosomal RNA (475 nucleotides) under uncultured bacterium. RNAcentral's name for it is "SSU rRNA". It matches the Rfam family "Bacterial small subunit ribosomal RNA", at positions 26 to 518 of the family's 1533-position model. The record is from RNAcentral.
AGGACGAACGCUGGCGGCGUGCUUAACACAUGCAAGUCGAGCGGAAAGGCCCUUCGGGGUACUCGAGCGGCGAACGGGUGAGUAACACGUGAGUAAUCUGCCUUCAGCUCUGGGAUAGCUCCGGGAAACCGGGAUUAAUACCGGAUAUGACCACUUCGGACAUCUGUUGUGGUGGAAAGUUUUUCGGCUGGAGAUGAGCUCGCGGCCUAUCAGCUUGUUGGUGGGGUAACGGCCUACCAAGGCGACGACGGGUAGCCGGCCUGAGAGGGCGACCGGCCACACUGGGACUGAGACACGGCCCAGACUCCUACGGGAGGCAGCAGUGGGGAAUAUUGCGCAAUGGGCGGAAGCCUGACGCAGCGACGCCGCGUGGGGGAUGAAGGCCUUCGGGUUGUAAACCCCGUUUCAGCAGGGACGAAGCGAAAGUGACGGUACCUGCAGAAGAAGCGCCGGCUAACUACGUGCCAGCAGCCGC